UGAGGUUGGUGUACUGUGUGUGA
RNAcentral lists this non-coding RNA (23 nucleotides) under Dasypus novemcinctus (nine-banded armadillo). Its record names the gene dno-miR-672-5p. The record is from miRBase by way of RNAcentral. RNAcentral also lists the same sequence under 9 other names. Lineage: Eukaryota; Metazoa; Chordata; Mammalia; Cingulata; Dasypodidae.